UUGGGUCUUGAAUACCCCAUAACUAGCCACCAAUUAUAGACUAUUACUGGGUCUUGAAUACCCAAGUAAUGAGUGGGUGUUAUAGAACCAUAAACCACCCUACUAAUGGAUCAUUUCUCCCAUGUGCAAAUGAAGGGCCACAACAUUGCCUUUAUAAGACUGGUCCCUCUUCAGUUCUCAGUACCUAGAAACAUAGUUGAGAGCACACAAUCUCUGAGUUUUGGCUUGAGAAAUCAAAUAUUGUUAGCG
This 249-nucleotide long non-coding RNA is filed under the name Actinidia chinensis (golden kiwifruit). Its description in RNAcentral is "long non-coding RNA (ACHI_LNC007626)". Lineage: Eukaryota; Viridiplantae; Streptophyta; Magnoliopsida; Ericales; Actinidiaceae. The record is from RNAcentral.